GAUGAACGCUGGCGGCGUGCCUAAUACAUGCAAGUCGAGCGAACGGACGAGAAGCUUGCUUUUCUGAUGUUAGCGGCGGACGGGUGAGUAACACGUGGAUAACCUACCUAUAAGACUGGGAUAACUUCGGGAAACCGGAGCUAAUACCGGAUAAUAUUUUGAACCGCAUGGUUCAAAAGUGAAAGACGGUCUUGCUGUCACUUAUAGAUGGAUCCGCGCUGCAUUAGCUAGUUGGUAAGGUAACGGCUUACCAAGGCAACGAUGCAUAGCCGACCUGAGAGGGUGAUCGGCCACACUGGAACUGAGACACGGUCCAGACUCCUACGGGAGGCAGCAGUAGGGAAUCUGCCGCAAUGGGCGAAAGCCUGACGGAGCAACGCCGCGUGAGUGAUGAAGGUCUUCGGAUCGUAAAACUCUGUUAUUAGGGAAGAACAUAUGUGUAAGUAACUGUGCACAUCUUGACGGUACCUAAGCAGAAAGCCACGGCUAACUACGU
Molecule: ribosomal RNA, 496 nt
Filed under: uncultured bacterium
Lineage: Bacteria
Description: partial 16S ribosomal RNA
Rfam family: Bacterial small subunit ribosomal RNA
Source: RNAcentral